This 147-nucleotide non-coding RNA is filed under the name Chromobacterium sp. RNAcentral describes it as "FMN sequence". It matches the Rfam family "FMN riboswitch aptamer (RFN element)". Rfam says of the family: The RFN element is a highly conserved domain that is found frequently in the 5'-untranslated regions of prokaryotic mRNAs that encode for flavin mononucleotide (FMN) biosynthesis and transport proteins. This element is a metabolite-dependent riboswitch that directly binds FMN in the absence of proteins. In Bacillus subtilis, the riboswitch most likely controls gene expression by causing premature transcription termination within the 5' untranslated region of the ribDEAHT operon and precluding access to the ribosome-binding site of ypaA mRNA. Lineage: Bacteria; Pseudomonadati; Pseudomonadota; Betaproteobacteria; Neisseriales; Chromobacteriaceae. The record is from RNAcentral.
CUACGUCUUCAGGGCGGGGUGCGAUUCCCCACCGGCGGUAUGGUCGCAAGACCGAGCCCGCGAGCGCUUUCGCCAUCAGGCGGAAGGUCAGCAGAUCUGGUGCGAUGCCAGAGCCGACGGUAAUAGUCCGGAUGAAAGAAGACGACG